Molecule: long non-coding RNA, 1449 nt
Organism: Carassius gibelio (silver crucian carp)
Lineage: Eukaryota; Metazoa; Chordata; Actinopteri; Cypriniformes; Cyprinidae
Exons: 4
Source: RefSeq, a predicted model, not a curated record
UUAUGAGGAGAUCUAUCAAAUGAUAUGCAUAUUGUGUUGAUAUGUGAAACACCACGUGAUUACAGAGCCAUAAAACUCGUUAGCGCCAACUAGUGGCCGAUUUCUUUCAAAAUUCUUACAGACCUUAAGGUUCAUGAGUCGAACGUACCCAGCGAGUUUCGUUCCGAUCAACAUCCGUUAACCCUUUCAAAUAGGUGCUUAAAUUUGUUUGGCCAAUGGCGGCCAUGUUUUUUGAGAUAUGCAAAUGUCCUCAUAGGUACUUGUGCCCCUUCAGACCAAGACACUGCAUACCAAUUUUCAAGUCGAUCGAGCCAACGGUUGCCUAGUUAUAGCAAUUAAUGUGUUUUUUCUAUCUUAUAGCACCCCCAAGUGGCAGAAAUGCGCAAUUUUUUUUAUUUGACCAAAGAUUGAGCUUAUACAUAUGUGUACCGAGUUUGGUGAAGAUAUCUCAUUCUGUUCAAGAGUUAUAGUCAAAAUAGCAUUUGGCUAACGUUAGCAUAGACGCUUUUUGGUGUACUGUUUCGCGUAAGAAUUGAAAUUUCAACUUUUUUUUGAUAAUUAUUGAUAUUGAGUGUCCAGGGAAUAUUUAUGAAGUGGUUUGGUUCUGAUUGGUUGAAAAUCCUAGGACUAGUUCGCAAAAGUAGGUUUCGGAUAUAGCUCGAUUUUGCGAGAAAACGGUGUGUCGUAGACCCCAAAAAGGCGCCGUGCACUUUUGUUCGGGCUAACCCAAGGAUUGCUAUGAUGCCAUGUUUUUGAGUUUAUGGCUAACAGUUUACGAUUCACGGCCAAAAACGUCCAAAAUUUUUGUUUUUUGCGCUAUAGCGCCCCCGUUUGGCCGAUUGGGCUGAGACUUUGAUAAGUUCUCCCCAAAAUGAGCUCUACGAUCUGUCCAAAUUUCAGCUCUCUAGGCCUUACGGUUUGGGCUGCACGUUCAGUUCUAGGGCGGAAGAAUAAUAAUAAUAAUAAUAAUAAUAAUAAUAAUAAUAAAAAUCCUAACAAUUACAAUAGGGUUUCAGCACUGCGUGCUUGAACCCCUAAUAAUUAAAGCUGCAAGCAGCAUUUACCGGGGUUCAAGCACAUUAAGGCCUCUGAGGUGGUCUGAGCCAACCUGGAUGCAUGGAUGACAUUUAAACACAUCCAAAAUGGAGAACAGGUUAACAGACAGACACACACACUGAAAGUAAAUGAUUAGACUAAUAUAUGUAUACUCUAUAAGCAUAUGCACACACACACACACAGAAAGACACACAUAUACAUGCACAAACAUUUUGUUGCAGAUAUAGGUAUUUGAAAUAAGUGAUAGGUGACAAUAAACUUAUUGCAAGUCUUCUCUUUUUAAGAGUUUAGAUGUCAUUUUCAGGUUAAACUGUAAUCACAAUGUGGCAAAAUAGUAAAAACUGAUAUAUCUGUAAGAACAAAAUGGAAAACAUUGACUCAAUGAGAUUUAAA